Molecule: non-coding RNA, 92 nt
Filed under: Hymenobacter crusticola
Lineage: Bacteria; Pseudomonadati; Bacteroidota; Cytophagia; Cytophagales; Hymenobacteraceae
Also listed under: 1 other name
Description: Hymenobacter sp. MIMBbqt21 SAM riboswitch aptamer (S box leader)
Rfam family: SAM riboswitch aptamer (S box leader)
About the family: The SAM riboswitch is found upstream of a number of genes which code for proteins involved in methionine or cysteine biosynthesis in Gram-positive bacteria. The SAM riboswitch acts at the level of transcription termination control.
Source: Rfam by way of RNAcentral
UUUUUAUACAGAGGCGUGGAGAGACAGGCUCGACGAUACGCCGACAACCCCCAGAAUGUCUGGAACGGUGCCAAAUCCUGAUCAUAUAAAAA